GACGAACGCUGGCGGCGUGCUUAACACAUGCAAGUCGAACGGAAAGGCCCUGCUUUUGCGGGGUGCUCGAGUGGCGAACGGGUGAGUAACCCGUGAGUAACCUGCCCUUGACUUUGGGAUAACUUCAGGAAACUGGGGCUAAUACCGGAUAGGAGCUCCUGCUGCAUGGUGGGGGUUGGAAAGUUUCGGCGGUUGGGGAUGGACUCGCGGCUUAUCAGCUUGUUGGUGGGGUAGUGGCUUACCCAGGCUUUGACGGGUAGCCGGCCUGAGAGGGUGGCCGGCCACAUGGGUACUGAGAUACGGCCCAGACGCCAACGUGGGACAGCGGUGGGAAAUAUGGCACAAUGGGCGGAAGCCUGAUGCAGCAACGCCGCGUGCGGGAUGACGGCCUUCGGGUUGUAAACCGCUGUCGCCUGUGACGAAGCGUGAGUGACGGUAAUGGGUAAAGAAGCACCGGCUAACUACGUG
Molecule: ribosomal RNA, 468 nt
Filed under: uncultured bacterium
Lineage: Bacteria
Description: partial 16S ribosomal RNA
Rfam family: Bacterial small subunit ribosomal RNA
Source: RNAcentral